AUGCUCAAUGUCACCAACACAGUUGUGCUUGUUGCAACAAAACCUGCACAUGAUCGAGGAGUCAUUGUUGUAGAUUUGGACCUUCAGGCCGAGUCCCGAGAUGUGCAGAAUGAGGAGGUCGCCGAGGACGAUCCGGUGCUGGUGACAGAAGUAGUUCUAGCCCCGGCCAAGCACCAUGUGCCCCUCGAAGUUCUGGACCUGCACCCAGAACUCGCACCACUUGUUCGCCGACAGCCUGACCACGCGCGGGAGCCUCUUGAUGACCAGUCACUCGUUCAUCACCUCCACGAACUUGCGAGGGAUGACGAGCAUGGCGAGGUCUUCGGCGUCCUUGAUUUGCUGAUAGAAGCGCGGUGGCUCCCGGCCCCCCUCCUCGUGGCCGGUUCUCGAAGAUCGUCCCCUUGA
This 405-nucleotide ribosomal RNA is filed under the name Triticum aestivum (bread wheat). RNAcentral's name for it is "partial small subunit ribosomal RNA". The record is from RNAcentral. Lineage: Eukaryota; Viridiplantae; Streptophyta; Magnoliopsida; Poales; Poaceae.